This 466-nucleotide ribosomal RNA is filed under the name Veillonella parvula. RNAcentral's name for it is "bacterial SSU rRNA". It matches the Rfam family "Bacterial small subunit ribosomal RNA", at positions 28 to 471 of the family's 1533-position model. The record is from RNAcentral. Lineage: Bacteria; Bacillati; Bacillota; Negativicutes; Veillonellales; Veillonellaceae.
GACGAACGCUGGCGGCGUGCUUAACGCAUGCAAGUCGAACGAAGAGCGAUGGAAGCUUGCUUCUAUCAAUCUUAGUGGCGAACGGGUGAGUAACGCGUAAUCAACCUGCCCUUCAGAGGGGGACAACAGUUGGAAACGACUGCUAAUACCGCAUACGAUCUAAUCUCGGCAUCGAGGAUAGAUGAAAGGUGGCUUCUACAUGUAAGCUAUCACUGAAGGAGGGGAUUGCGUCUGAUUAGCUAGUUGGAGGGGUAACGGCCCACCAAGGCGAUGAUCAGUAGCCGGUCUGAGAGGAUGAACGGCCACAUUGGGACUGAGACACGGCCCAGACUCCUACGGGAGGCAGCAGUGGGGAAUCUUCCGCAAUGGACGAAAGUCUGACGGAGCAACGCCGCGUGAGUGAUGACGGCCUUCGGGUUGUAAAGCUCUGUUAAUCGGGACGAAAGGCCUUCUUGCGAACAGUUAG